This 318-nucleotide unclassified non-coding RNA is filed under the name Hevea brasiliensis (rubber tree). Lineage: Eukaryota; Viridiplantae; Streptophyta; Magnoliopsida; Malpighiales; Euphorbiaceae. The record is from RNAcentral.
AUUUUGUAAAGCAUGAUUGUGUAUUUGGUGAUGACUUGGAUUUAGAAGAGAUAACAUUUGUGUCAGAGGUUCUGAAAAAGCUUGAUCACCCCAUUCUAUAUUCUUUGUCUCCUGGAACCAGUGUGACACCAACCAUGGCUAAAGAUGUAAGUGGGUUAGUCAACAUGUACAGGAUAACAGGGGAUGAUUGGGAUACAUGGGGAGAUGUAGCAGCCCAUUUUGAUGUUUCAAGGGACUUCUCUACUGCUACUAUGAUUGGUGCCAAGGGUUUAUUGGGGAAGUCGUGGCCUGACUUAGAUAUGCUACCAUUGGGAUGGC